CUACGGGGGAAAGCAGGGGAUCUUCGGACCUUGCGCUAAUAGAUGAGCCUAAGUCAGAUUAGCUAGUUGGUGGGGUAAAGGCCUACCAAGGCGACGAUCUGUAGCGGGUCUGAGAGGAUGAUCCGCCACACUGGGACUGAGACACGGCCCAGACUCCUACGGGAGGCAGCAGUGGGGAAUAUUGGACAAUGGGCGAAAGCCUGAUCCAGCCAUGCCGCGUGUGUGAAGAAGGCCUUUUGGUUGUAAAGCACUUUAAGCGAGGAGGAGGCUACUUAGAUUAAUACUCUAGGAUAGUGGACGUUACUCGCAGAAUA
Molecule: ribosomal RNA, 314 nt
Filed under: uncultured bacterium
Lineage: Bacteria
Description: bacterial SSU rRNA
Rfam family: Bacterial small subunit ribosomal RNA
Source: RNAcentral